AUGCGUAGAAGAAAAUGGCCUGGUAAUCCUUGUUGCUCCUUCUGCAACGAGGUUGAGAGUUCACAACACCUGUUUUUCACCUGCCCUGUGGCGAAAUGUCUGUGGAGAUCCGUUUGGGUCGUGCUGGGUACUGAUAGAUGUCCCAGCAGUUAUUGGCAGUACUAUGCGUGGUGCCAUUCUUUUCUUCCUGGGGGAGAGAAAUUUUAUACAGUGGGCCUUGCAGCUGCUUGCUGGGCUAUCUGGCUGGCUCGAAAUCGAGCCACUUUUGAGAAGAAAAUGAUCAAAACUCCUUUUGAGAUUGUCUUUUCCAGGUGUUCUUUCUUGCUUUAUUGGACAGGUCUACAACAAGGAGAUGAUGCUAAUAAGCUACGGGCAGGCGCAGAGCAGAUCAGGAGGUCUACAACAAGGAGAUGA
RNAcentral lists this ribosomal RNA (414 nucleotides) under Triticum aestivum (bread wheat). Its description in RNAcentral is "partial small subunit ribosomal RNA". The record is from RNAcentral. Lineage: Eukaryota; Viridiplantae; Streptophyta; Magnoliopsida; Poales; Poaceae.